ACGAACGCUGGCGGCAUGCCUAAUACAUGCAAGUCGAACGAACACUUCGGUGUUAGUGGCGCACGGGUGCGUAACGCGUGGGAAUCUACCCUUGGGUUCGGAAUAACAGUGGGAAACUACUGCUUAUACCGGAUGAUGACGUAAGUCCAAAGGUUUAUCGCCCAGGGAUGAGCCCGCGUAGGAUUAGCUAGUUGGUAAGGUAAAAGCUUACCAAGGCUACGAUCCUUAGCUGGUCUGAGAGGAUGAUCAGCCACACUGGGACUGAGACACGGCCCAGACUCCUACGGGAGGCAGCAGUAGGGAAUAUUGGACAAUGGGCGAAAGCCUGAUCCAGCAAUGCCGCGUGAGUGAUGAAGGUCUUAGGAUUGUAAAGCUCUUUCACCGGAGAAGAUAAUGACGGUAUCCGGAGAAGAAGCCCCGGCUAACUUCGU
Molecule: ribosomal RNA, 431 nt
Filed under: uncultured bacterium
Lineage: Bacteria
Description: bacterial SSU rRNA
Rfam family: Bacterial small subunit ribosomal RNA
Source: RNAcentral